AGAGUUUGAUCAUGGCUCAGAACGAACGCUGGCGGCAGGCCUAACACAUGCAAGUCGAGCGCUCUCUUCGGAGGGAGCGGCGGACGGGUGAGUAACGCGUGGGAACGUGCCCUUCUCUAUGGAAUAGCCACUGGAAACGGUGAGUAAUACCAUAUACGCCCUUCGGGGGAAAGAUUUAUCGGAGAAGGAUCGGCCCGCGUUAGAUUAGGUAGUUGGUGGGGUAAUGGCCUACCAAGCCUACGAUCUAUAGCUGGUUUUAGAGGAUGAUCAGCCACACUGGGACUGAGACACGGCCCAGACUCCUACGGGAGGCAGCAGUGGGGAAUCUUAGACAAUGGGCGCAAGCCUGAUCUAGCCAUGCCGCGUGAGUGAUGAAGGCCUUAGGGUCGUAAAGCUCUUUCGCCAGAGAUGAUAAUGACAGUAUCUGGUAAAGAAACCCCGGCUAACUCCGUGCCAGCAGCCGCGGUAAUACGGAGGGGGUUAGCGUUGUUCGGAAUUACUGGGCGUAAAGCGCACGUAGGCGGAUUAGAAAGUUGGGGGUGAAAUCCCGGGGCUCAACCUCGAACGGCCUCCAAAACUCCUAGUCUAGAGUUCGAGAGAGGUGAGUGGAAUUCC
RNAcentral lists this ribosomal RNA (615 nucleotides) under uncultured Phaeobacter sp. RNAcentral describes it as "bacterial SSU rRNA". It matches the Rfam family "Bacterial small subunit ribosomal RNA", at positions 8 to 670 of the family's 1533-position model. The record is from RNAcentral. Lineage: Bacteria; Pseudomonadati; Pseudomonadota; Alphaproteobacteria; Rhodobacterales; Roseobacteraceae.